This 301-nucleotide ribosomal RNA is filed under the name uncultured bacterium. RNAcentral's name for it is "partial 16S ribosomal RNA". It matches the Rfam family "Bacterial small subunit ribosomal RNA", at positions 509 to 807 of the family's 1533-position model. The record is from RNAcentral.
CAGCCGCCGCGGGAAAACGAAGGGUGCAAGCGUUACUCGGAAUUACUGGGCGUAAAGCGUGCGUAGGUGGUGGUUUAAGUCCGUUGUGAAAGCCCUGGGCUCAACCUGGGAAUUGCAGUGGAUACUGGGUCACUAGAGUGUGGUAGAGGAUAGUGGAAUUUCCGGUGUAGCAAUGAAAUGCGUAGAGAUCGGAAGGAACAUCUGUGGCGAAGGCGACUAUCUGGGCCAACACUGACACUGAGGCACGAAAGCGUGGGGAGCAAACAGGAUUAGAUACCCCCGUAGUCCCUGUCUCUUAUAC